This 73-nucleotide transfer RNA is filed under the name Aedes aegypti (yellow fever mosquito). It matches the Rfam family "tRNA". Rfam says of the family: Transfer RNA (tRNA) molecules are approximately 80 nucleotides in length. Their secondary structure includes four short double-helical elements and three loops (D, anti-codon, and T loops). Lineage: Eukaryota; Metazoa; Arthropoda; Insecta; Diptera; Culicidae. The record is from Rfam by way of RNAcentral.
CCUCUCGUAGUGUAGGGGUAACGCACUCUAUCUAGUGCCCAUGGAGUCGUGAGUUCGAUUCUCACCGAGAAGA